This 164-nucleotide unclassified non-coding RNA is filed under the name uncultured fungus. RNAcentral describes it as "sequence contains ITS1". The record is from RNAcentral. Lineage: Eukaryota; Fungi.
UUAACUAUUAUAUAGUACUCAGACAUCAAAGAUUCAAGGGUUUGAGUCCUCUGGCCGGCCCGGAGGCCAGCCAAAGCAACUGAAGUUUCGUAUGCAAAGGGUGAGAAUGGGACGCAAGCAUCACCAAUUCUUUAAUGAUCCUUCCGCAGGUUCACCUACGGAAA